GGGGGAUUUGGUCAAUGGACGAGAGUCUGAACCAGCCAAGUAGCGUGCAGGAAGACGGCCCUAUGGGUUGUAAACUGCUUUUAUAAGGGAAUAAAGUGAGUCUCGUGAGACUUUUUGCAUGUACCUUAUGAAUAAGGACCGGCUAAUUCCGUGCCAGCAGCCGCGGUAAUACGGAAGGUCCGGGCGUUAUCCGGAUUUAUUGGGUUUAAAGGGAGCGUAGGCCGGAGAUUAAGCGUGUUGCGAAAUGUAGACGCUCAACGUCUGCACUGCAGCGCGAACUGGUUUCCUUGAGUACGCACAAAGUGGGCGGAAUUCGUGGUGUAGCGGUGAAAUGCUUAGAUAUCACGAAGAACUCCGAUUGCGAAGGCAGCUCACUGGAGCGCAACUGACGCUGAAGCUCGAAAGUGCGGGUAUCGAACAGGAUUAGAUACCCUGGUAGUCCGCACGGUAAACGAUGGAUGCCCGCUGUUGGUCUGAACAGGUCAGCGGCCAAGCGAAAGCAUUAAGCAUCCCACCUGGGGAGUACGCCGGCAACGGUGAAACUCAAAGGAAUUGACGGGGGCCCGCACAAGCGGAGGAACAUGUGGUUUAAUUCGAUGAUACGCGAGGAACCUUACCCGGGCUUGAAUUGCAGAGGAAGGAUUUGGAGACAAUGACGCCCUUCGGGGCCUCUGUGAAGGUGCUGCAUGGUUGUCGUCAGCUCGUGCCGUGAGGUGUCGGCUUAAGUGCCAUAACGAGCGCAACCCCUCUCCUUAGUUGCCAUCAGGUCAUGCUGGGCACUCUGGGGACACUGCCACCGUAAGGUGUGAGGAAGGUGGGGAUGACGUCAAAUCAGCACGGCCCUUACGUCCGGGGCUACACACGUGUUACAAUGGCAGGUACAGAGAGACGGUCCCUUGCAAAACGGAUCAAAUCCUUAAAGCCUGUCUCAGUUCGGACUGGGGUCUGCAACCCGACCCCACGAAGCUGGAUUCGCUAGUAAUCGCGCAUCAGCCAUGGCGCGGUGAAUACGUUCCCGGGCCUUGCACUCACCGCCCGU
This 1039-nucleotide ribosomal RNA is filed under the name uncultured bacterium. Its description in RNAcentral is "bacterial SSU rRNA". It matches the Rfam family "Bacterial small subunit ribosomal RNA", at positions 357 to 1397 of the family's 1533-position model. The record is from RNAcentral.